Molecule: ribosomal RNA, 465 nt
Filed under: uncultured bacterium
Lineage: Bacteria
Description: partial 16S ribosomal RNA
Rfam family: Bacterial small subunit ribosomal RNA
Source: RNAcentral
GACGAACGCUGGCGGCGUGCUUAACACAUGCAAGUCGAACGGAAAGGCCCUGCUUGCAGGGUACUCGAGUGGCGAACGCGAGAGUAACACGAGGGUGUACUCCCCCGGACCUUGGGAUAAGCCUGGGAGACUGGGACGAAUACCGGAAAGGAGCACUAUUUAGUGUGAUGGUUGGGGAGAUUUUUGGGUGUGGGUUGAGCUGGCGGCCUAUCAGCUUGUUGGUGGGGUAAUGGGCUACCAAGGAGGGGAGGGGUAGGCCGCCUGAGGGGGUGGACGGGCACAAUGGGACUGCGAGACGGCGCAGACUCCUACGGGACGCAACAGUCGGGAAUAUUGCACAAUGGGGCCGAGCCUGAGACAGCGACGCCGGGGUUGGGAUGACCUCCUUCGGGUUGUAAACUCCUUUCGCGAGGGACGAAGCUUUUUGUGACGGUACCGAGAGAAGAAGCACCGGCUAACUACGUG